RNAcentral lists this ribosomal RNA (585 nucleotides) under Salmonella enterica. RNAcentral's name for it is "partial 23S ribosomal RNA". It matches the Rfam family "Bacterial large subunit ribosomal RNA", at positions 604 to 1190 of the family's 2925-position model. The record is from RNAcentral. Lineage: Bacteria; Pseudomonadati; Pseudomonadota; Gammaproteobacteria; Enterobacterales; Enterobacteriaceae.
CCUUUUGUAUAAUGGGUCAGCGACUUAUAUUCUGUAGCAAGGUUAACCGAAUAGGGGAGCCGUAGGGAAACCGAGUCUUAACCGGGCGUUAAGUUGCAGGGUAUAGACCCGAAACCCGGUGAUCUAGCCAUGGGCAGGUUGAAGGUUGGGUAACACUAACUGGAGGACCGAACCGACUAAUGUUGAAAAAUUAGCGGAUGACCUGUGGCUGGGGGUGAAAGGCCAAUCAAACCGGGAGAUAGCUGGUUCUCCCCGAAAGCUAUUUAGGUAGCGCCUCGUGAAUUCAUCUCCGGGGGUAGAGCACUGUUUCGGCUAGGGGGCCAUCCCGGCUUACCAACCCGAUGCAAACUGCGAAUACCGGAGAAUGUUAUCACGGGAGACACACGGCGGGUGCUAACGUCCGUCGUGAAGAGGGAAACAACCCAGACCGCCAGCUAAGGUCCCAAAGUCAUGGUUAAGUGGGAAACGAUGUGGGAAGGCCCAGACAGCCAGGAUGUUGGCUUAGAAGCAGCCAUCAUUUAAAGAAAGCGUAAUAGCUCACUGGUCGAGUCGGCCUGCGCGGAAGAUGUAACGGGGCUAAACCAU